RNAcentral lists this ribosomal RNA (468 nucleotides) under Aeromonas sp. AE100. RNAcentral describes it as "bacterial SSU rRNA". It matches the Rfam family "Bacterial small subunit ribosomal RNA", at positions 30 to 484 of the family's 1533-position model. Lineage: Bacteria; Pseudomonadati; Pseudomonadota; Gammaproteobacteria; Aeromonadales; Aeromonadaceae. The record is from RNAcentral. RNAcentral also lists the same sequence under 1 other name.
AUUGAACGCUGGCGGCAGGCCUAACACAUGCAAGUCGAGCGGCAGCGGGAAAGUAGCUUGCUACUUUUGCCGGCGAGCGGCGGACGGGUGAGUAAUGCCUGGGGAUCUGCCCAAUCGAGGGGGAUAACUACUGGAAACGGUAGCUAAUACCGCAUACGCCCUACGGGGGAAAGCAGGGGACCUUCGGGCCUUGCGCGAUUGGAUGAACCCAGGUGGGAUUAGCUAGUUGGUGAGGUAACGGCUCACCAAGGCGACGAUCCCUAGCUGGUCUGAGAGGAUGAUCAGCCACACUGGAACUGAGACACGGUCCAGACUCCUACGGGAGGCAGCAGUGGGGAAUAUUGCACAAUGGGGGAAACCCUGAUGCAGCCAUGCCGCGUGUGUGAAGAAGGCCUUCGGGUUGUAAAGCACUUUCAGCGAGGAGGAAAGGUCAGUAGCUAAUAUCUGCUGGCUGUGACGUACUCGCAG